This 492-nucleotide ribosomal RNA is filed under the name uncultured bacterium. Its description in RNAcentral is "partial 16S ribosomal RNA". It matches the Rfam family "Bacterial small subunit ribosomal RNA", at positions 29 to 507 of the family's 1533-position model. The record is from RNAcentral.
AGUGAACGCUGGCGGUAGGCCUAACACAUGCAAGUCGAACGGCAGCACAGAAAGAGCUUGCUCUUACGGGUGGCGAGUGGCGGACGGGUGUGGAAUACAUCGGAAUCUACUUUUUCGUGGGGGAUAACGUAGGGAAACUUACGCUAAUACCGCAUACGACCUACGGGUGAAAGCAGGGGAUCUUCGGACCUUGCGCGAUUGAAUGAGCCGAUGUCGGAUUAGCUAGUUGGCGGGGUAAAGGCCCACCAAGGCGACGAUCCGUAGUUGGUCUGAGAGGAUGAUCAGCCACACUGGAACUGAGACACGGUCCAGACUCCUACGGGAGGCAGCAGUGGGGAAUAUUGGACAAUGGGCGCAAGCCUGAUCCAGCCAUACCGCGUGGGUGAAGAAGGCCUUCGGGUUGUAAAGCCCUUUUGUUGGGAAAGAAAAGCAGCAGGUUAAUACCCCGCUGUUCUGACGGUACCCAAAGAAUAAGCACCGGCUAACUUCGUG